GAUGAACGCUGGCGGCGUGCCUAAUACAUGCAAGUCGAGCGAACAGACGAGGAGCUUGCUCCUCUGACGUUAGCGGCGGACGGGUGAGUAACACGUGGAUAACCUACCUAUAAGACUGGGAUAACUUCGGGAAACCGGAGCUAAUACCGGAUAACAUUUUGAACCGCAUGGUUCAACAGUGAAAGACGGUCUUGCUGUCACUUAUAGAUGGAUCCGCGCUGCAUUAGCUAGUUGGUAAGGUAACGGCUUACCAAGGCAACGAUGCGUAGCCGACCUGAGAGGGUGAUCGGCCACACUGGAACUGAGACACGGUCCAGACUCCUACGGGAGGCAGCAGUAGGGAAUCUUCCGCAAUGGGCGAAAGCCUGACGGAGCAACGCCGCGUGAGUGAAGAAGGUCUUCGGAUCGUAAAACUCUGUUAUUAGGGAAGAACAAAUGUGUAAGUAACUAUGCACGUCUUGACGGUACCUAAUCAGAAAGCCACGGCUAACUACGUG
RNAcentral lists this ribosomal RNA (497 nucleotides) under uncultured bacterium. Its description in RNAcentral is "partial 16S ribosomal RNA". It matches the Rfam family "Bacterial small subunit ribosomal RNA", at positions 28 to 507 of the family's 1533-position model. The record is from RNAcentral.